Molecule: ribosomal RNA, 253 nt
Filed under: uncultured bacterium
Lineage: Bacteria
Description: partial 16S ribosomal RNA
Rfam family: Bacterial small subunit ribosomal RNA
Source: RNAcentral
UACGGGGGGGGCAAGCGUUGUUCGGAAUUAUUGGGCGUAAAGAGCUCGUAGGCGGCCUGUCGCGUCGGAUGUGAAAGCCCGGGGCUCAACCCCGGGUCUGCAUUCGAUACGGGCAGGCUGGAGUGUGGUAGGGGAGAUCGGAAUUCCUGGUGUAGCGGUGAAAUGCGCAGAUAUCAGGAGGAACACCGGUGGCGAAGGCGGAUCUCUGGGCCAUUACUGACGCUGAGGAGCGAAAGCGUGGGGAGCGAACAGG